Molecule: ribosomal RNA, 253 nt
Filed under: uncultured bacterium
Lineage: Bacteria
Description: partial 16S ribosomal RNA
Rfam family: Bacterial small subunit ribosomal RNA
Source: RNAcentral
GACGAAGGUGGCAAGCGUUGCUCGGAAUCACUGGGCAUAAAGCGCGCGUAGGUGGCCUUAUAAGUCGGCGGUGAAAUCCCAUCGCUCACCGAUGGAACUGCCGCCGAUACUAUAGGGCUUGAGGACGGUAGGGGAGAGUGGAACUCCUGGUGUAGCGGUGAAAUGCGUAGAUAUCAGGAGGAACGCCGGUGGCGAAAGCGACUCUCUGGGCCGUUCCUGACACUGAAGCGCGAGAGCUAGGGGAGCAAACAGG